UAUCCUUACAAAAGAGACCUCAGAGAACACUCUUGACCCUUCUGCCAUCUUCUAGGUAAAAUGGAGAAAUAGGAUUGAACUUACCCUCCCACCUGGAAUCACUGGAUAUCAGGUGAUGAAGGACAGUGAUUCUUCAGAGAUGGAAAACAAAUGAGAUUCAAUGGAACUAUAAACUCACAGAUCCAAGAAGCUCAAUGAGUCCCAAGCCCAAGACACAUGAACGAAACUAUAAAACACAUAAGAAUCACUUUGCAUCUCAGAGUUAGGAGUCUCUCAUGGUUUCUCUCUCUCUCUCUCUCUCUAAUUUUUCCUACUCAUUUCCCCUGGGAAGCAAA
This is a long non-coding RNA of Canis lupus familiaris (dog), 335 nucleotides long. RefSeq lists it as uncharacterized. The transcript has 3 exons. NCBI's taxonomy places the organism in Eukaryota, Metazoa, Chordata, Mammalia, Carnivora, Canidae. The record is from RefSeq and is a predicted model, not a curated record.